This 215-nucleotide unclassified non-coding RNA is filed under the name Hevea brasiliensis (rubber tree). Lineage: Eukaryota; Viridiplantae; Streptophyta; Magnoliopsida; Malpighiales; Euphorbiaceae. The record is from RNAcentral.
GCAGGAUGCACUCAGCAAUUGGGCUGCUCUUUGUUCCCAGCAGAAAACAAUUUGAUCCGCACUUCACUUGACAGGAGACAAUUACCACUUCUUUGUUCUCUCUCUUUUAUUAUGUGUCUUGGACCUCAACUUGUGCUUUGGGACUUUCUUGAAUGAUUUCAUUUUACUAAAAGCUAAAUUAUGUUUCUUAUCAUCUCCAAUCAAUCUUGGCAUUG